GACGAACGCUGGCGGCGUGCUUAACACAUGCAAGUUGUACGGUACGACAUGGAAGCUUGCUGAAGUGUCGUAGAGUAGCGAACGGGUGAGUAAUGCAUGAGAAUCUGCCCUUUGGAGGGGGACAACAGCUGGAAACGGCUGCUAAUACCCCGUAAGCCGGGAGGUGAAAGGUACGCGAGUACUGCCGGGGGAUGAGCUCAUGUCCUAUCAGCUUGUUGGUGGGGUAACGGCCCACCAAGGCGACGACGGGUAGCCGGCCUGAGAGGGUGAACGGCCACACUGGGACUGAGACACGGCCCAGACUCCUACGGGAGGCAGCAGUUGGGAAUCUUCGGCAAUGGGCGCAAGCCUGACCGAGCAACGCCGCGUGAGUGAUGAAGGUUUUCGGAUUGUAAAGCUCUGUCUUCCGGGACGAUAAUGACGGUACCGGAGGAGGAAGCCACGGCUAACUACGUG
This 456-nucleotide ribosomal RNA is filed under the name uncultured bacterium. RNAcentral describes it as "bacterial SSU rRNA". It matches the Rfam family "Bacterial small subunit ribosomal RNA", at positions 28 to 507 of the family's 1533-position model. The record is from RNAcentral.